AUUGAACGCUGGCGGCAUGCUUUACACAUGCAAGUCGAACGGGGUGGUGGGGCAACCUGCCAUUCAGAGGCGAACGGGUGAGUAAUGCAUCGGAACGUAUCCCGUAGUGGGGGAUAACGCCGCGAAAGCGGCGCUAAUACCGCAUAUGCUCUACGGAGGAAAGUGGGGGACCGCAAGGCCUCACGCUAUGGGAGCGGCCGAUGUCCGAUUAGCUUGUUGGUGGGGUAAUGGCCCACCAAGGCGACGAUCGGUAGCUGGUCUGAGAGGAUGAUCAGCCACACUGGGACUGAGACACGGCCCAGACUCCUACGGGAGGCAGCAGUGGGGAAUUUUGGACAAUGGGGGCAACCCUGAUCCAGCCAUGCCGCGUGCGGGAAGAAGGCCUUCGGGUUGUAAACCGCUUUUAGUCGGGAAGAAAAGGCCAAGGUUAAUACCCUUGGUUCUUGACGGUACCGGCGGAAUCAGCACCGGCUAACUACGUGCCAGCAGCCGCGGUAAUAC
Molecule: ribosomal RNA, 501 nt
Filed under: uncultured bacterium
Lineage: Bacteria
Description: bacterial SSU rRNA
Rfam family: Bacterial small subunit ribosomal RNA
Source: RNAcentral